Molecule: long non-coding RNA, 696 nt
Filed under: Physcomitrium patens
Lineage: Eukaryota; Viridiplantae; Streptophyta; Bryopsida; Funariales; Funariaceae
Description: long non-coding RNA (PPAT_LNC013877)
Source: RNAcentral
UUGGUCGAAUACCAUGCCCAAUGGGCUUUGAGGAGGCUGCUCGAGGCCAUAUUAGGAAUUAGGGUUCCUCUUUCGAGGCCAUUCGAGCUUUUGAGGCCAGGGUCAGAAGGUUUAGGGUUUUGGGUAUAAUUUGGGUGAAGAUUUUGUGUGAUUUCGAGUUUUUAUGGAAAAGAUAUGAAUGUUCAAAGAUAAGGUGUCAAUUUCAUACCUAUUGUCACUUCUUUUGGGCAUCACAUACGAAUACGGAGAGCAACGGAAGAUCGGCGACUGGAUUUGGAGGGAGCAUUUUCUCGGCUACACAUUCUACUUACUGUAUAGUGAAUUCUAAGAUUGAAUGAAGGAGUUAUGAGGCGUUGAAGACAGCACUUGUAAUUUGAAGGCAGUAAGUAUAUCGUUUUGUUGCUAGUUAUGGGUGAAGCCAUAUCUUGAGUUUCUGGACGAAUUUUUGGCUCAAAAUUUCCACAAGUGUGUGUUAUUAGGUUAAAAAGCUUUAGAUCAAAGUUUCAUAGUAUUUGAAUAAUUACUUUGUGAGAUAUGAAGGAAGUUGUACACGGGUGUAAAAAAGCUAGGGUUUGAAGCUACAGUUAGGGUUUUCAAGAUAUCACAAGAUCCAAGACGAAUUUACGGUUGAAUUUUGGUGUGGUAGUUGCUAAAGAUAUAUUAGUACUCCAUGUAAAAUUUGGAGUUGUUUAGACG